Molecule: ribosomal RNA, 1315 nt
Filed under: Escherichia coli
Lineage: Bacteria; Pseudomonadati; Pseudomonadota; Gammaproteobacteria; Enterobacterales; Enterobacteriaceae
Description: bacterial LSU rRNA
Rfam family: Bacterial large subunit ribosomal RNA
Source: RNAcentral
ACCCCGGCGAGGGGAGUGAAAAAGAACCUGAAACCGUGUACGUACAAGCAGUGGGAGCACAGAGCAAUCUGUGUGACUGCGUACCUUUUGUAUAAUGGGUCAGCGACUUAUAUUCUGUAGCAAGGUUAACCGAAUAGGGGAGCCGAAGGGAAACCGAGUCUUAACUGGGCGUUAAGUUGCAGGGUAUAGACCCGAAACCCGGUGAUCUAGCCAUGGGCAGGUUGAAGGUUGGGUAACACUAACUGGAGGACCGAACCGACUAAUGUUGAAAAAUUAGCGGAUGACUUGUGGCUGGGGGUGAAAGGCCAAUCAAACCGGGAGAUAGCUGGUUCUCCCCGAAAGCUAUUUAGGUAGCGCCUCGUGAAUUCAUCUCCGGGGGUAGAGCACUGUUUCGGCAAGGGGGUCAUCCCGACUUACCAACCCGAUGCAAACUGCGAAUACCGGAGAAUGUUAUCACGGGAGACACACGGCGGGUGCUAACGUCCGUCGUGAAGAGGGAAACAACCCAGACCGCCAGCUAAGGUCCCAAAGUCAUGGUUAAGUGGGAAACGAUGUGGGAAGGCCCAGACAGCCAGGAUGUUGGCUUAGAAGCAGCCAUCAUUUAAAGAAAGCGUAAUAGCUCACUGGUCGAGUCGGCCUGCGCGGAAGAUGUAACGGGGCUAAACCAUGCACCGAAGCUGCGGCAGCGACGCUUAUGCGUUGUUGGGUAGGGGAGCGUUCUGUAAGCCUGCGAAGGUGUGCUGUGAGGCAUGCUGGAGGUAUCAGAAGUGCGAAUGCUGACAUAAGUAACGAUAAAGCGGGUGAAAAGCCCGCUCGCCGGAAGACCAAGGGUUCCUGUCCAACGUUAAUCGGGGCAGGGUGAGUCGACCCCUAAGGCGAGGCCGAAAGGCGUAGUCGAUGGGAAACAGGUUAAUAUUCCUGUACUUGGUGUUACUGCGAAGGGGGGACGGAGAAGGCUAUGUUGGCCGGGCGACGGUUGUCCCGGUUUAAGCGUGUAGGCUGGUUUUCCAGGCAAAUCCGGAAAAUCAAGGCUGAGGCGUGAUGACGAGGCACUACGGUGCUGAAGCAACAAAUGCCCUGCUUCCAGGAAAAGCCUCUAAGCAUCAGGUAACAUCAAAUCGUACCCCAAACCGACACAGGUGGUCAGGUAGAGAAUACCAAGGCGCUUGAGAGAACUCGGGUGAAGGAACUAGGCAAAAUGGUGCCGUAACUUCGGGAGAAGGCACGCUGAUAUGUAGGUGAAGCGACUUGCUCGUGGAGCUGAAAUCAGUCGAAGAUACCAGCUGGCUGCAACUGUUUAUUAAAAACACAGCAC